AGUACAAUGGUUGGAUUGUAUGGUAUUUGUAUAACUUUUAAUGAAACUGCCAAAUUAUUUCCAAAGUGGUGGUACUAAUUUACAUGUCUACCAGCUGU
This 98-nucleotide microRNA precursor is filed under the name Marmota monax (woodchuck). The record is from RNAcentral. Lineage: Eukaryota; Metazoa; Chordata; Mammalia; Rodentia; Sciuridae.